UCCAAAUAUCCAAAUAUCCAUUUCCUGCCUAACUGCGGAAAUCAGGCGCUCGAUUACACUUGCAUUUCGUACCUUUCCAGACCAAUUACAGCCGUUGAUUUCCGAACACGAUCUGUCCUUCGCGACGAUGGAAUCGCCGGCAGAUGAUCGCCGGUGCAAGCGCAGCGAUGGUCAAAAGUGGCGGUGCAGGGAAACGGCGUCGUCGGGGAAGUCAAAAGCACUUGGCGCAGCUCAAGAAUAAGAAAAUUCAGAGAGAAAGAUCAGACGGAGACAGCGGUUCCGAUAAUCCUGUGAAGAUUUGCAAAUUCAAGGAGGAGAAGCCUAACAAGAAGACGGAGCCGCGUGUGAGCUUGAUGUGCCACCAGUGUCAGCGGAGCGACAAGAGUGGCGUUGUCCACUGUUCUAAUUGUACGACCAAGCGAUUUUGCUCUGAGUGCAUUGAAAGAUGGUACCCUGGGAAGACGAGAGAGGAAAUAGCGAAGAAAUGCCCAUUUUGUUGUCGCAACUGCAACUGCAAAGCUUGCUUGCGCGAGUUUACUCUGCACUUUAAUCUGAAACUACCAAGUUUUGAGUCUAAUCUCUCUCUCUCUCUCUCUCUCUCUCUCUCUCUCCCCUUAUGGUUUUAUUUGUUUUGACAGCCUUGCAACAUAAAAGUUGAGCCCAGUGUCAAAUUACAGAGGCUGAAGUACUUGCUAUAUAAAGCUUUACCUGUUCUGAGGCAUAUUCACACUGAGCAGAGCUUUGAACUAGAGAUUGAAGCCAAAAUACGAGGUCUUCAGUUGAGUGAAAUGGACAUAACGAGAACUAAAAUAGACCAAAGUGAGCGUAUAAUGUAUUGGUAUGUCCAGGCUCCCUCACAAUUAAACUGAGAAGUGCAUUUUGUUUAGCAUCUUUUAUCGAAUAUCUAUUGUCCAAAAACUGCAAAUAAAAACAGAAA
Molecule: non-coding RNA, 937 nt
Organism: Prunus mume (Japanese apricot)
Lineage: Eukaryota; Viridiplantae; Streptophyta; Magnoliopsida; Rosales; Rosaceae
Source: RefSeq, a predicted model, not a curated record